RNAcentral lists this long non-coding RNA (5964 nucleotides) under Gossypium barbadense (sea-island cotton). RNAcentral describes it as "long non-coding RNA (GBAR_LNC019756)". Lineage: Eukaryota; Viridiplantae; Streptophyta; Magnoliopsida; Malvales; Malvaceae. The record is from RNAcentral.
AAUACUCCAGAGGCAUUGGCCCUUUCGAUGGGGUUCAGUCGGAAGAUGAGGAUGGCAGUGAUAAUUGCGGGAGUUACUUCUCCGAUGUGUUCGCAACCACAGAGCAGGAGGCAUUAGGAUUGUGGGCCUGGUCUUAACCUAAAGGAUCCUGCAACAAUAUAUUUCUCUAGUGUUUCAUGCUAUGGUGUCAUGCGUUGAAUUAAGACAACAGUUGAAAAUAACCAAAAAUACAGGUGAUGUCAGAAACCCGGUACAUAGGGUAAAGUAUAUGGAUGAAAUAUAGUCUAAAGUCAAUGGAAUAAUAAUAAUAUGUUUAAGUUUUACAUCACCUCCUUCCUCUCUUGUUUUCAGCUUAUUUAUAUUACUUUGGUUUAAAGCUAACAUAAACACAACCAAUCAAACAAAUAUGAAGAUUAUGUGCGAGUAACUCUUCAUGAACUCAAGGGGUAACCAUAGUGAUUCUCCAAUAUUCAAUUUUAUCAUUUGGAAAGCUAAUAAUUAAACAAUCUUCAAUCUUUCUAUAUAUAAAAUCAAAUCAGUCGUCUUUUCUCAAAUGAAAACAAGCAGGGCCUCACUUCAAUGUAAUGAGGACAAGAAAUCAACUCAUGACCAGGAUACGAAAUCAGUAACUUGGUGUAAAAUUGCAUUUGAUUUGUAGUAAUUAAUGCAUGACCACAUGUAUCUAUAUCGGUUACCCUGACUCAAAACAAGGGUCGGAAAUAAAUGUCCAAUCCUAGAUCAGGUAAUAAAUAAAUUCAUAUUUUAAACUUGUUCUUAUUUGUGUAUUAAAUUUCUUUUUACUAAAGGAUAAUAACAAUCAUAAAAUAUGUAGAUUAGCGCUUCAUUCUUCAAAAUCAGAUGGAAGUGAUCAAAAAUUCAUUCAAAAUACAACUUGUUUAUUAGCGAGAUUAACAAUGAAGAGAAGCAAGUUGAUCUAAUGGUGGUUCACCCUUAGCUAGGGUAAAGAGCCAUUGGAUAGCAAGUCUGGUAAGAUUUUUUUCUUAAAAUAGGAGAAUAAAGAAUAAGAAAAGAGGGAUGUUGUGUCUUGGACUUCUCUCGUGUUAUGAUGGGUUUAUAUAUAGGGGACCAAAACAUCUACGUGUCUAAAGUGUACUGACGAUAUCCCAUUUUGUUUCCCUGCAGUGAUGGUGAUGUGACGUUAUAGGAUAUGACUCUUUAUGAUAGUCGAGUAAUCAAUAAAUUUGAGCAUUCCAUGUAUAUCUAGCGAAGGUUAUCUUAUGUAAAGUCCGUCAUUCUAUCAUAAUUUGAGGUUCGCAAGACUUACACUGUUGAAGAUUUGCUUGUUGUGAAAUGUUACGGACACGUAAAGAGGCACGUGGAGGAGGUAUAACAUAACUAUUUAAGCAUCCCUUAGCUUGAAGCCACUCCAGUAAUCAAAACUGGCCUACAAAACAAGCUAUGGCCACGACAACGAAAGAUGAUGGUACUUAAGCAAGAAGUAGAAAAUUGAGAGUGAGGUACAACAGAAAAAGAGAACAUCAAGACAUGGGAAUUAAAUAAAUACCAACCAAAAUGAGAUUUGAAUUGUUUAGGGUCAAUCUUUUCUCGUAAAGUAGGCUCCAAUCGUACAGUCGGUGGAAGUUCAUGAGAAGAACAACAAAAGCCCACCUCACAAAACCACUUCACCCCCCCCAAAAAAACCCCACUUACAUACUAAAUUAGAAUUUGUUCGAUCCCACUUAAUUCCAACUCUCUUUCCUUCUUGUCCUUUCCAUCUUACAUUCCCACUCCAUAGCAUAUAUGCACUUUGACUAUCUUCACAAUUUUCUAGCUUUAGUGAAGCAGUAUCGUAAAAGGUAGACAUUUGUUUUAAAUUCGACCUUUGGAUGGUUCUUAUCUCCCUUUUUUUAUAAAAUAAAUUAUAGAAUUAUUUCCCUCUUCCUAUUCUUUAUGCUUUCAUUUCUGACCAAAAAAAUUGGGUAUGUAUGGUAUGCUGCUGGGCUUCACUUUGUCAAUUGAAUCAAACUCCAAUGAGGACACAAAAUGUUGUCAAUGAUGAAUAAGGUUAUACUCUCAACAAAUUACUUAUGCAUCAACUACUAUUAGAAAGCCCAAAGGAAUCAAGACCAACCGCAUAUGUCGUUAAUGCAGAUGUAGUUAAAUGAACGCCAGGCCCAUAUUUUCUUUCCAUGCAUGCCUUUGAUGACAGUACCUGUUACAGACGUGGGAAUGCUUGCGAAACAAGCUUACAUGCUUUACGGGAUUGUUGGGGGUGCCAAUAGAGUUUGGAUUAAACUUGUUCCACACGAACUUCACAAUUUCCUCCUAAAACGUGGGUUAUGAAUAAUGUGCAGGUCGAUAUACAAAGUGGACUACUCUGUUUGGCAUUCUUUGCUGCCUUAUUUGGAAGCAAAGGAACCAUACUAUUUUCAGAACUGAGUAUUUCAACAUAGAUUCUUUGGUUAUUAAAGGUAAUCUCUUUGGCUAAGGCUACGAAAAGGGUUUUAUUAGGAAAGGUAACCAGCUUAACACUCAACUGAAAUAGGAACUUCCACUCAAAAAAUGUUGUAAACUUAACAUGUAAAAUUUUUAGUUGAAUUAUGUGGAUCAGUUUAAAACUAUAUGAUCCAAUUUAAAGGGAUUAAGUAUUUUAAUUUAAUAGAAGUUAAAUCUUAUCUGCUUAUUCAGUUAUUUAAUGGAUGUAUUAGAUUAAAGGUUAAUUAUUAUAAAUUGAUUCUUCCGAUGCCUAUUAGGGUUACACAUAAAAUAUAGAAAAACUAAUAGUAAAAGCCUCCACCACUUAGGUAUUGCGUAACAUAAGGGAAAAAGUGAAGAGAGUGAAAUCAAUUUAUCAUGUAUUUUCUUUGUCAAAUCCAAUAACCAACUUCAAUUUUGCAUCAUGUACUUCUUUGUAACUGUGAAAAUCAUAUUCUUUUGAUUAUCCUAAGAUUAUUGUUUAUGAAAUAUUAAGGUUUUGAUUUGCAUAAUAUACUGGUCAUUAAAUUUUACAUGUAAUAUAAUAUAGCACGCUGUUUCCUCUGUUUGCUAAGAUAGCUCGCUUUUUUCUAGGGUUUUAUUUGUUUCGUUUUAUUAAAGAUCUGGAUUACUUGUUAGAGUGUUGUGACAAUGGAGGAGAAGUUAGCGAAUCUGAACAUCGUUGAUGAAAAAGAGGAUUAUAAGCUAUGUUUGGUGGGACGAGUACUAACGGAUAGUAUGGUACACUUCCUGUCAAUGAGGAAUACCUUGGUUGAUUUGUGGCACCCAUUGGAAGGGGUCUCUAUAACAGAUAUCGUGGAGAAAGGAAGUCUAUUUCGAUUCUACUAUGAGAUAGAUCUAAAGAGGGCAAUCGAUGGUAAGCCAUGAUCUUUUAACAAGCAUCUUAUUAUAUUUCAUCGAUUGGAAGCAGGAGAAGAUCCACUACAAGUCCCGUUGGUUUUCUCAGAGUUUUGGGUGCAAAUUCAUAAUCUUUUGACAAGGGUGACGUCGGAGGGUUUGGCGCGUCAGUUUGGAAAUUUUAUUGGAUAGUUCACUCAGUAUGAUACAACUUUGGUGACAAGGGGAAUAAGGAGAUAUAUGUGAAUUAGGGUAAAAUUGGAUGUUCGAGUGCCACUGAAACGAAAGAAGAAAUUAUUGUUAGACCAAAAUCAAGAGAGAUAUGCCUAUUUCCAAUAUGAAAGAUUAAUGUCAUUCUGCUUGCUCUGUGGGAAGUUAGGGCACAGUGUAACACCCUUUACCUGGUCCGAUCGCCGGACUCGAGUAAUAGGAUGCUACAAACAAAAAUCAAAUAAGUUACAUGUAAUUUGUUAACCAAAAUCUCAAUUAAUUAUCAUCAAAUCACAUACAAUCAAAUAUAAUAAUUUGUAAUUUGUAAGCUAUAUGGACCUAAUCGUGAAAUCCAGGCAUGAAAUUGGGUUGAAUUGUAAAAUUUCAACAUUUUAAAGUUGGUAUCAAUAUUUAAUUUCUUGGUAUUGAUACCAUUUUGAUACUUUAUUUGGUAUUGAUACCAAAUCAAGAUUCUAUUUAGUUACAAAAACAAGGCUAUCGAAAUUUUAUGAAAAAGUAUUGAUACUUGUAUAAGUAUCGAUACCAUUUUGGAUUCUAUUAGUUUUAAAAACUGUUCAUAUGGUCAAGUAUCAGUACCAAAUGCUAAAAUAUUGAUACUUGAGCUCAGAAAUGGUAAAAUCCUAUCUUUAAAAUGUUCAUUUCAUGCCAAAAUCACAUACUAAUCAAAAGUUAACUAUAUCAACCAAAGGUAUAUCUUAAUAUCACCUACACAAUCAACCUAAAUGUCUAACCAAUAUCCUUUCAAUGGCACAUCAAUAUCAAGCCAAAUAUUCAAGCAUUCAACAUUUGAUUUCAUAUAAGCUUUAUAACCUAAAUACUUGAACUACCAAAUCAUUUUCAAACAUAGCAUAGAUAUAAACAUGAACUUACCAAUUCAUUGAUAAGCUUGAACUAAGCAUGCAUCACUUAACCUGUACAAAACAUGAUAAAACAUUCAAAUUCACUUAUAAAACAUACACUAAAUAUUGCCAUCGAUUGCAAGACCAAACCAUGUACCAACCAUCAUUAUCACAACUAUGCAUUAACCAAAUACACACCUAGCAUAUUAACUUCUUAACUAUCAAACCAUUAUGCACAUAACCAAACUAUUUUAGCAAGAUAACAUCAAUUUGACCAUUUCCAUCAGCCACAUAUAUAAACACUUAUACACAUAACAUUUAAAUACCAUCAAGAUACAAAAUGAUCAUAUUAACCAAAAGACUUCCUAGGUACAUGCCAAGACAAAAAUUUGAAACAUCACCAACACUUGAGUUUGGGAUUGAUAAGCACAUCAUGCUUUCAAUAAAUGUUUCGGUACAAUGGCAUGUUUAAAAUGCAUGUCAAUGUUCGGUGUCAAUUUAUACUUUGCAUAUUUUUUAUUUAACAGUAACAAUGACAUGCUAUACAUGCAUUCCAUACACAAUUUCAUCACAGAUUAAGUAAUUAAAUAUAUGGCAUGUCAAUCAUACAAUCAACCAAGGCAUAACAUAGGUCAUACAUUACUUACAACUCAUACACAAUUCCAUCAGAUUAAAAAAGGGCCUUUAACAAUUGGGCUUUUUAAGUGUUUACGUACCUUGCUUGACACCUCACUUAAUUGCACUUAGGCCAUUUAUCCAAGCCAAAACUAGCAAGCAAAUUAACCAUUUAAAUAAAUAUUGUAUGAUUUCCAAACUAAUUAGACAUAGGGGACAGACCUGCACCUGUUAAACGUAAAUACGAAGCACUAACUUAAAUCCGCAGCUCCUAUAACUUUGAUUCGAUUAGAACUCAAUUAGAUAUGUACACAAUAGAGAUCAUUUAUAAAAAAUCAGCCCCCUAUUACCCAUAUAGGGUUCGGCCAAGGCAUUGGUAUUAACCAAAAUUUCAUAUUUGAAUUAGAAAGUUAACACUUACCCUAUCAUGCUUACAACGGAGUUGCAAAUAGUUCACCGAAGUUACUGCUGAUCCAAAUGGUUUGGAUCUAGACCUUGAAUCAAUUAAACACAAAAGUAAUGAAACAUGUGAGAUUCAACCAUUCCAUGAACCAUUUGGCCAUAAUAGAAUAUAAAAAGUAGAGAAAACUACUUAGAUCUGAAUGAACUAACCGAAAAAAUUAUGCACUUACACUACUUGCUCAGAUCUGACGAUAGAAAAACAACAAAAGGUAGGGGAAAAGGUUUAGAAGGAUGGCGGCAACAAGGACGAUGACUUGUUGGGAUAGAGACAAUGGAGGGAAAAAGGGCUGUAGAGGUGCAGCAAUGACAGUUAAAAAACAACAAGUUUCAGCUUUUAGGAAAAAGAAAAUGAUUAGAAAAAUAAAAUCUAAUGGGAGGAGAAGGUGAACAAUGGGUGGCACAAUGGUGAAUAGUGGUGAUGGUGACACAAUGUAGGAGGAGGAAAAAGAAGAAAGAAAAAAAAAUUGAGAGAAGAGAGGGAUAAGGAGGAGGGGAAGACAAAGGGAAAUUAAGAGAGAGAAAA